UCUAAUGUGACAGAAUUGAUGUAAUGAACUUAAGAUUCAUCCAUAAAUAAAAUUAUUUCUUUAGAA
Molecule: transfer RNA, 66 nt
Filed under: Antialcidas floripennae
Lineage: Eukaryota; Metazoa; Arthropoda; Insecta; Hemiptera; Membracidae
Description: tRNA-Leu
Source: RNAcentral